AUCCAGGGAUGGGAAUAGAACCUACAGUGUUCCGCUUAUUAGGCAGAUUCCAUGUCCACUAAGCUACCCUGGA
RNAcentral lists this transfer RNA (73 nucleotides) under Cordylochernes scorpioides. RNAcentral describes it as "tRNA-Ile". The record is from RNAcentral. Lineage: Eukaryota; Metazoa; Arthropoda; Arachnida; Pseudoscorpiones; Chernetidae.